CCUACGGGUAGCAGCAGUCGAGAAUCAUUCACAAUGGGGGAAACCCUGAUGGUGCGACGCCGCGUGAGUGAAGAAGUAUUUCGGUAUGUAAAGCUCUAUCAGCAGGGAAGAAAAUGACGGUACCUGAUUAAGAAGCCACGGCUAACUACGUUCCAGCAGCCGCGGUAAUACGUAGGGGGCAAGCGUUAUCCGGAUUUACUGGGUGUAAAGGGGGCGUAGACGGCAGCAGAAGUCUGGAGUGAAAUGCCGGGGCUUAACCCCGGAACUGCUUUGGAAACUGUGCAGCUAGAGUGCAGGAGAGGUAAGUGGAAUUCAUAGUGUAGCGGUGAAAUGCGUAGAUAUUAGGAGGAACACCAGUGGCGAAGGCGGCUUACUGGACUGUAACUGACGUUGAGGCUCGAAAGCGUGGGGAGCAAACAGGAUUAGAUACCCCUGUAGUC
RNAcentral lists this ribosomal RNA (440 nucleotides) under uncultured bacterium. RNAcentral's name for it is "partial 16S ribosomal RNA". It matches the Rfam family "Bacterial small subunit ribosomal RNA", at positions 338 to 795 of the family's 1533-position model. The record is from RNAcentral.